CCCUUAGAUGUUCUGGGCUGCACGCGCGCUACACUGAAGCUAUCAACACGUUUUCCCUCCCUGAGAAGGGCGGGUAGCCUUUUGAAUCAGCUUCGUGGUAGGGAUCGGGGCUUGCAAUUGUUCCCCGUGAACCAGGAAUUCCUAGUAGACGCGAGUCAUAAGCUCGCAUCGAUUAAGUCCCUGCCCUUUGUACACACCGCCCGUCGCUACUACCGAUUGAACGUUUUAGUGAGGCAUUUGGACCGACGCAUCUCAGUUUAACCGCUGGUUUGUGUUGGAAAGACUUCCAAACUUGAGCGUUUAGAGGAAGUAAAAGUCGUAACA
This 324-nucleotide ribosomal RNA is filed under the name uncultured eukaryote. RNAcentral's name for it is "partial 18S ribosomal RNA". It matches the Rfam family "Eukaryotic small subunit ribosomal RNA", at positions 1470 to 1796 of the family's 1831-position model. The record is from RNAcentral.